RNAcentral lists this unclassified non-coding RNA (335 nucleotides) under soil metagenome. RNAcentral's name for it is "partial contains 5.8S ribosomal RNA, internal transcribed spacer 2, and large subunit ribosomal RNA". The stretch from base 1 to 120 matches the Rfam family "5.8S ribosomal RNA", at positions 35 to 154 of the family's 154-position model. The record is from RNAcentral.
GAUGAAGAACGUAGUGAAAUGCGAUAAGUAAUGUGAAUUGCAGAAUUCAGUGAAUCAUCGAAUCUUUGAACGCACAUUGCGCCCGCCAGUAUUCUGGCGGGCAUGCCUGUUCGAGCGUCAUUUCAACCAUCAAGCCCCCGGCUUGUGUUGGGGACCUGCGGCUGCCGCAGGCCCUGAAAACCAGUGGCGGGCUCGCUAGUCACUCCGAGCGUAGUAGUUACAUCUCGCUCAGGGCGUGCUGCGGGUUCCGGCCGUUAAAAGCCUUAUUUACCCAAGGUUGACCUCGGAUCAGGUAGGAAGACCCGCUAAACUUAAGCAUAUCAAUAAGCGGAGGA